Long non-coding RNA from Taeniopygia guttata (zebra finch), 1744 nucleotides. RefSeq lists it as uncharacterized. The record is from RefSeq and is a predicted model, not a curated record. NCBI's taxonomy places the organism in Eukaryota, Metazoa, Chordata, Aves, Passeriformes, Estrildidae.
GCUCCACACAGCUCCCUGCUGAGCCCUGGCACAUCAGUCAUUCCUUAUGCUUUUUCAUUUUUCACUAAGGAUCCUCAUCAGGCCGUGAUACAAGCUGAGGUUGCAAAGAGGAUGGAUCUGAGGAGCAAGAGAACUGGAGGUGUGGGAGAAAAGGACAUGGGAACACAGCUAAGAACAGCGUGAGGAUCAUGUUACGGGUGUGUGCUCUGGGAGGGAGGAUGAAGAGAAAGGAAUUAAAUUAACAGAAGAGCUGAAUGAAUGAAAGUAAAACUGAAAAUGGGGGUGAUAGAUGAUACAGUGAGGCAAUAGGAUAUGAAAACAGUUGAAACACUUAUAUCUGCUGUGGCUGUCCUGGGAAGUUAAGAUGGGGAAAUGGGAAUGACCAGGCUUCAACAGCAGUACUGAGAAGCUGGGAGAAGCUAGUAUCAGACUGGGACAAGUGGAAAUUCAUGGAGAUUUACUGAGGAUGGAGCCUGUGGCAAGUGACAAAGAUCUGAUGGACUGAUCUAACAUGAGCUUCCUGUAUCACUGCUGUGCUGCAGCCUACAUUGAGGUCAAAAACUUCCAAUGCUCGAUUGCUGCCAGCUUGGCAGAGCGUCACUACCUCUGCUGCGCUUUUUCUGUGUUUGCCCCGAGGUGGCCGGCGCUGGUUCCCCCACAGCACCUCGGCCAGCUCCCGCCCCAGCUCAGUGUGACAAUGACCGGAGUGGCUGUGCUGCCGGCCUGGUUCAACUCGGCAGUGCCGGAGAAGAGCAAGAGAGAAACACAGCAUUAAUACGGCUGUUCACGCUGCUGAAUCUGAGUGGCUGAGGCAUGCUUCUCAGAAAUAAAACAAUCUCGCUAUAGAAGGAGCAGUGGGAGAAAAGGAGGUGUAGGGAUGGCCUUCCAAGGUUGUUGUGGCUCAGAAACUGGCUGAACACUGGUCUGAGUGAUUGGUGGUGAAUGGCUGCCUUUGCAUCGCUUCUUUGCUUAUAUAUAUGACACAUAUAUAUUAUAUAAAAAAUACUGUACCUUCUUGCACUUUCUGUGUACAUUCAUCAAGAUUCCACACUAUCACACAUUCAUGAGAGGCAGAGCAGACAAGAAGUGGAUUGAUUUUACUUCCAAAUGACAGUGCAGAAACUGAGUAAUGAUGCCCUGACAAAUAUAAUGGCUGACAAAUGUAGAUAAAGAAGAGUUAAAGAAACAAACAAAGAUUUUGAAUAAUAUAAAGCUACAAAUGGAACAAUAACUUAUUUUUAUUUACAACUUUAGAAUAACCUAAACUACAAUGUAGCUGUACUGGUUUGGCUGAGAUAGAGUUAACUUUUUUCAUAGCAGCUUGUGGGGCACAGUGCUUUGGAUUUUGUGACAAAACCAGCAAUGAUAACACAGCAAUGUUUUGGCUGUUGCCAAAUACUGUUUGCACAGCACUGCGGCCUUCUCUUUUUUCCCACUUUUUCUCAGUUUCCCCAUCCCAAUAACAAGCUAAAGAUGCAUAAGAACUUGGUAGGGGACACAGCUGGAACAAAUAUUUCAGUUUGCUGAACUGGCAAAGGGAUAUUCCCUACCAUAUGAUGUCAUGCUCAGCAAUAGAACUGGGAUAUUGCGUGCAAGAAGAUGUUGAGGCCUGAGACAUUGACUCUAAGGUGGCUGUUGCUCAAAGCCUGUACUGAGAUUUCUCUGGUUGUUGGGCAUGGUGAUUGCUUUGGUAUAGCUUUUUUUCUUUCUCUUCCCUUCACUCAUUAAACUACCUUUGUCUCUA